UACGGAGGGGGCUAGCGUUGUUCGGAAUUACUGGGCGUAAAGCGCGCGUAGGCGGCUUUGUAAGUUAGAGGUGAAAGCCCGGAGCUCAACUCCGGAACUGCCUUUAAGACUGCAUCGCUAGAACGAUGGAGAGGUGAGUGGAAUUUCCAGUGUAGAGGUGAAAUUCGUAGAUAUUCGGAAGAACACCAGUGGCGAAGGCGACUUACUGGACACAUAUUGACGCUGAGGUGCGAAAGCGUGGGGAGCAAACAGG
RNAcentral lists this ribosomal RNA (253 nucleotides) under uncultured bacterium. RNAcentral describes it as "partial 16S ribosomal RNA". It matches the Rfam family "Bacterial small subunit ribosomal RNA", at positions 524 to 776 of the family's 1533-position model. The record is from RNAcentral.